RNAcentral lists this ribosomal RNA (1422 nucleotides) under Ophiocordyceps sinensis. RNAcentral's name for it is "eukaryotic LSU rRNA". It matches the Rfam family "Eukaryotic large subunit ribosomal RNA", at positions 39 to 1486 of the family's 3401-position model. Lineage: Eukaryota; Fungi; Ascomycota; Sordariomycetes; Hypocreales; Ophiocordycipitaceae. The record is from RNAcentral.
CAUAUCAAUAAGCGGAGGAAAAGAAACCAACAGGGAUUGCCCCAGUAACGGCGAGUGAAGCGGCAACAGCUCAAAUUUGAAAUCUGGCCCCCCCGCGGGCCCGAGUUGUAAUUUGCAGAGGAUGCUUUUGGCGCGGCGCCUUCCGAGUGCCCUGGAACGGGACGCCAUAGAGGGUGAGAGCCCCGUCUGGUCGGACGCCCAGCCUCUGUAAAGCUCCUUCGACGAGUCGAGUAGUUUGGGAAUGCUGCUCUAAACGGGAGGUAUAUGUCUUCUAAAGCUAAAUACCGGCCAGAGACCGAUAGCGCACAAGUAGAGUGAUCGAAAGAUGAAAAGCACUUUGAAAAGAGGGUUAAACAGUACGUGAAAUUGUUGAAAGGGAAGCGCUUGUGACCAGACUCGGGCGCGGCGAAUCACCCGGCGUUCUCGCCGGUGCACUUCGACGCGCCCGGGCCAGCAUCAGCUCGCCGCGGGGGACAAAGGCGCCGGGAACGUGGCUCCCCAGGGAGUGUUAUAGCCCGGCGCGCAACGCCCCGCGGCGGUCUGAGGUUCGCGCGUCCGCAAGGAUGCUGGCGUAAUGGUCACCAGUGACCCGUCUUGAAACACGGACCAAGGAGUCGUCCUCGUAUGCGAGUGUUCGGGUGUCAAACCCCUACGCGCAAUGAAAGUGAACGCGGGUGAGAGCCUCGCGGCGCAUCAUCGACCGAUCCUGAUGUUCUCGGAUGGAUUUGAGUAGGAGCAUACGGGGCCGGACCCGAAAGAAGGUGAACUAUGCCUGUGUAGGGUGAAGCCAGAGGAAACUCUGGUGGAGGCUCGCAGCGGUUCUGACGUGCAAAUCGAUCGUCAAACAUGGGCAUGGGGGCGAAAGACUAAUCGAACCUUCUAGUAGCUGGUUUCCGCCGAAGUUUCCCUCAGGAUAGCAGUGUUGAUCUCAGUUUUAUGAGGUAAAGCGAAUGAUUAGGGACCCGGGGGCGCUCUUCAGCCUUCAUCCAUUCUCAAACUUUAAAUAUGUAAGAAGCCCUUGUUGCUUGGUUGAACGUGGGCAUUCGAAUGUAUCAACACUAGUGGGCCAUUUUUGGUAAGCAGAACUGGCGAUGCGGGAUGAACCGAACGCGAGGUUAAGGUGCCGGAGUGGACGCUCAUCAGACACCACAAAAGGCGUUAGUACAUCUUGACAGCAGGACGGUGGCCAUGGAAGUCGGAACCCGCCAAGGACUGUGUAACAACUCACCUGCCGAAUGUACUAGCCCUGAAAAUGGAUGGCGCUCAAGCGUCCCACCCAUACCUCGCCCUCAGGGUAGAAGCGAUGCCCUGAGGAGUAGGCGGACGUGGGGGUCCGUGACGAAGCCCAGGGCGCGAGCCCGGGUCGAACGGCCUCCAGUGCAGAUCUUGGUGGUAGUAGCAAAUACUUCAAUGAGAACUUGA